Cylas formicarius (sweet potato weevil) is the source of this 1165-nucleotide long non-coding RNA. RefSeq lists it as uncharacterized. The transcript is spliced from 3 exons. The record is from RefSeq and is a predicted model, not a curated record. NCBI's taxonomy places the organism in Eukaryota, Metazoa, Arthropoda, Insecta, Coleoptera, Brentidae.
CAUGGAUAUUUGAAAAUCGUACAAUUGGUCUUGGCAAGAUAUUAAUAUAAAAACUGUAAAAACCGCUGAAGUUCAUGAGGACGGCGUGGGAAAUAUCUCCGAAAACAUCCGAUUGCUCCCAAACCAGUGCGGUAAAAUCCCGGAAAUAUCUGAAGUGGCUCGGAUCCGUGGGAAACGAAACUGACGUGGUAAAGUGACGCUUCCCGCGCGCUAGAUUUGUGUGUAAUUAGGAUCUCAUUGGAAUGACAACAUAUAAUCUAAUAAAUGAAUAUGCACCCCAACCAAAGACGAUAUUUCUACGACCGCAACCGACUUUGGCAUAUGAUCGGAACAUAAAUAAACUGCAAAACCUAGUCUAGUUACCUGGUAAAUACAGUACAUGGUUAUGGUACAGAACUAUCCAAAACCAAUGAAUCGUUUUGUUUACAAAUGGUGAUUUCAUUUAAUUAGUAACAAGGAGCAGAAAUCUUACAUGGUUAUUAGGUUAGACGGCAAACAAGUAAAGUUUCAUAGCUGUACAUUUUACACCUCAUCCAAUGUAAUUUUUUAAAGUAUCCAUUCCAAAUAUCCCUUGAAAAUGUCUGUAAUUUCUCACUCUACACCUUACACUAUAAACAAUAGCAGUGGUAGUUUAUUCAAUAAUAAGAAAACUAUGAAAUCAGAGUAUGCGACACUAGCUCUUUAAAUUUAAUUUGAGUUUAAUAGAAGAAUACUAAUAUAAUUAGAUAGAUUGAAAAUCAAAGAUUUACAGUUUAUAAUUUUAUUCUUUUGUGAGUGAUCUACGUUCUAAUCAUUAAGGAGUAAAGUGAAAAUAGAGACCCACCGCAAAACACCGAAAACUAAGAGUAUUCCAGUAAGCUUACGCGCUUGCCCGUGGCACUGAUCAAAAAAUACCUGUUUAGAUACAUAGUCAAAUUUUACGAGAUAAUUCACUGGUUAGAUUCAACAAACAAACAUUUUUUUUUAAAUAGUGAAUUCUCGAGUGAGUUAGAGAUCGUAUGUGUAAUUUGGGUUCAUGAAACUAAUGGUGAACUAAUGUCGCUAAAUUUCUGCAAAUGAAAAUGUUUGUAACAAAAAUUAAUAGGAAACCUUUUUGCGUGUGAGUUGGCAAAAUAUAAAACUUAUGAUACCGAAAUCUUGUUAGCACUUAUUCUGAAAUGAAAAA